GAAUGCUUGCAUUAACCGUAAGAGGUUGAGUGGCGGACGGGUGAGUAACACGUGGGUAACCUGCCUAAAAGAAGGGGAUAACACUUGGAAACAGGUGCUAAUACCGUAUAUCUCUAAGGAUCGCAUGAUUCUUAGAUGAAAGAUGGUUCUGCUAUCGCUUUUAGAUGGACCCGCGGCGUAUUAACUAGUUGGUGGGGUAACGGCCUACCAAGGUGAUGAUACGUAGCCGAACUGAGAGGUUGAUCGGCCACAUUGGGACUGAGACACGGCCCAAACUCCUACGGGAGGCAGCAGUAGGGAAUCUUCCACAAUGGACGCAAGUCUGAUGGAGCAACGCCGCGUGAGUGAAGAAGGUCUUCGGAUCGUAAAACUCUGUUGUUAGAGAAGAACACGAGUGAGAGUAACUGUUCAUUCGAUGACGGUAUCUAACCAGCAAGUCACGGCUAACUACGUGCCAGCAGCCGCGGUAAUACGUAGGUGGCAAGCGUUGUCCGGAUUUAUUGGGCGUAAAGGGAACGCAGGCGGUCUUUUAAGUCUGAUGUGAAAGCCUUCGGCUCAACCAGAGUAGUGCAUUAGAAACUGGAAGACUUGAGUGCAGAAGCAGGAGAGUAGAACUCCAUGUGUAUAGACGGCAUGCACCAAAAUACGUACAUAUAUACAAGCUUAACACCCACCCUGGCGACAAGCGGCUCUCUCGGUAUGUUAACGGAAAACGCUGAGGGUCUUUCGAAAGCGUGGUGUAGCAAACAGGAUUAUGAUACCCUGGGCCAGUCCACCGCCGUAAACGAUGGAAAUGCUAGGUGUCUCUUGGAGGGUUUCCAGCCCUUCAGUGCCGCAUGCUUCCAAAUGCAAUA
RNAcentral lists this ribosomal RNA (854 nucleotides) under Ligilactobacillus salivarius. RNAcentral describes it as "bacterial SSU rRNA". It matches the Rfam family "Bacterial small subunit ribosomal RNA", at positions 68 to 866 of the family's 1533-position model. The record is from RNAcentral. Lineage: Bacteria; Bacillati; Bacillota; Bacilli; Lactobacillales; Lactobacillaceae.